CUGAGAAAAUCUUGGCUUAAGAUAAUUAUCCAUGGCUGAAAACGCAGGAAAUAGCAUUUCCGAGGUUCAAAUCUUAAAAUUUUCUCGGGGGAGCAUGCCCCCGAACCCCCCAAGGUUACAGGUCAUUCAUUUACUGUACCCUCCCCCAUUUUCGAGUACUCUACUCUAUCCCUGCAUGUUUUAGGUUUUGGUGCAGUUAUACAUUCUUUGUAAGUAAACUUGCACGCUUUAGUGUGGGGAACAUUAAGACAUAACCAUAUAUAAAAUAAAGCACAGUGAAAAUUCCUUGGCCCCUCUUGGGAUUCAGUUCUCGACCUCCUCUGACUGAAAACCCCUGCUACGUCUCCGAUGAUAGCUA
Molecule: non-coding RNA, 358 nt
Organism: Paramuricea clavata
Lineage: Eukaryota; Metazoa; Cnidaria; Anthozoa; Malacalcyonacea; Plexauridae
Source: the annotation of a GenBank genome assembly